This 450-nucleotide ribosomal RNA is filed under the name uncultured bacterium. RNAcentral describes it as "partial 16S ribosomal RNA". It matches the Rfam family "Bacterial small subunit ribosomal RNA", at positions 354 to 796 of the family's 1533-position model. The record is from RNAcentral.
GUAGGGAAUAUUGGGCAAUGGAGGCAACUCUGACCCAGCCAUGCCGCGUGCAGGAAGAAGGCCUUCGGGUUGUAAACUGCUUUUGUACGGAACGAAACGGUCCGGGUUAAUACCCUGGGCUAAUGACGGUACCGUAAGAAUAAGCACCGGCUAACUACGUGCCAGCAGCCGCGGUAAUACGUAGGGUGCAAGCGUUAAUCGGAAUUACUGGGCGUAAAGCGUGCGCAGGCGGUGCUGUAAGACAGGCGUGAAAUCCCCGGGCUCAACCUGGGAAUUGCGCUUGUGACUGCAGUGCUGGAGUGCGGCAGAGGGGGAUGGAAUUCCGCGUGUAGCAGUGAAAUGCGUAGAUAUGCGGAGGAACACCGAUGGCGAAGGCAAUCCCCUGGGCCUGCACUGACGCUCAUGCACGAAAGCGUGGGGAGCAAACAGGAUUAGAAACCCCAGUAGUCC